RNAcentral lists this long non-coding RNA (431 nucleotides) under Canis lupus familiaris (dog). Its description in RNAcentral is "lncRNA (ENSCAFG00845018758.1)". The record is from RNAcentral. Lineage: Eukaryota; Metazoa; Chordata; Mammalia; Carnivora; Canidae.
UCUGACUAUAACUAUGGACUAUUGCUUAAAUAUCUAAUUCACCAUCCUUCACAGCUAUCUUUUAAGUACUGAGUGCAUAUUGCAAUAUCAUGUGCCUUCGAACCAUGGUGACUGAUGUAUGUGAAGUCAUCAGUAGAGGUGAUAUGCAAGAGACAUAAUGGAAGCAAGAAAGUCCUUGAAACUGCUGUUUUUGAGGUUCAGACAGUUUCAAUGUGAGUCUUCAAAGACAAUGCAUUGGUUUCAGACAUUAUGAAUCUUGUUCUCACAGUUGCAAAAUGGCUGAUGGGCCUCUACCAACAUGUCCAUAUUCCAUGCAGACAUAAAUAAGAAGGGGGAGGGCAAACAACAUGUACCAACAGUUUAUUCAACAAAUUAAUGACAAGUAAGUAUUUUUUAAGUCUAAAAAACAAUAGCUUUCCUGAACCCACCCC